UACAGAGGUCCCGAGCGUUGUUCGGAUUCAUUGGGCGUAAAGGGUGCGUAGGUGGCAGGGUAAGUUGGAUGUGAAAUCCCGGGGCUCAACCCCGGAACUGCAUUCAAUACUGCCCUGCUAGAGUACUGGAGAGGAGAUUGGAAUUCAUGGUGUAGCAGUGAAAUGCGUAGAUAUCAUGAGGAAGACCAGUGGCGAAGGCGGAUCUCUGGACAGUUACUGACACUGAGGCACGAAGGCCAGGGGAGCAAACGGG
Molecule: ribosomal RNA, 253 nt
Filed under: uncultured bacterium
Lineage: Bacteria
Description: partial 16S ribosomal RNA
Rfam family: Bacterial small subunit ribosomal RNA
Source: RNAcentral